GUUUUAAUAGUUUAUCAUAAAACAUUGGUCUUGUAAAUCAAAAAAAAUUAUAUAUUUUAAAACU
This 64-nucleotide transfer RNA is filed under the name Cilnia humeralis. RNAcentral's name for it is "tRNA-Thr". Lineage: Eukaryota; Metazoa; Arthropoda; Insecta; Mantodea; Mantidae. The record is from RNAcentral.